This 632-nucleotide long non-coding RNA is filed under the name Struthio camelus australis. RNAcentral describes it as "lncRNA (ENSSCUG00000006547.1)". Lineage: Eukaryota; Metazoa; Chordata; Aves; Struthioniformes; Struthionidae. The record is from RNAcentral.
UCUAAUCCUCUGCCUUGCUGCUUUCAUUUGUAGGUGAAGGCUAUUGAUAUCACAGUGCUGGAAUUGCCAGCAUUUGUUUGGAGAGUUGGACACAACCGGGGCUUUGUUAUCAUGGUGCUGUCUCAUCUUUGCUUAUGAUCUCUGUUGUGAUGAAGAGAAAAGGAAGAACGUCUGCUCCCUCCUGGAAGCCUUUACUUUGAAGGCCCUGUCUGUGGAAGUCCGUGUCUCAUGCUGUCAUUGGAGUGCUAUGGCGAAAGAGCUUUCGAUAAGCUGCUGCACCUCUGCCCUUUUUGAUAGUCUGUGACAUUACACAGUGAGGUAAAAUGAAAGAAGAUUUUGCCUCUGUGUUCUGCAGAUUCAUCCUGUUUCAACGGACUUUACCUUAUAAGAAUUCAUCAGAACUGCGCAUUCAUCUGGCUUUGAUGUGGAACCGAAUGUCUCGCUCUUGCCUCAUACGACUCGUGGAUCAAGUGGCUCACUGUGUGAGUGGUUUCAAAAUUCUCUGCUAGAGGCAAGAACGGAGCCCGGUGCGGCAGAAGCUGUUUUCCUCGGACUGGCGGAGCCUGUGUCCUUACUGUCCUGAAGAGGAACAAAUAACAACUAGGUAUUUCAUUUGCUAGCCUUUAAACUAA